UACGUAGGGGGCAAGCGUUGUCCGGAUUUAUUGGGCGUAAAGCGCUCGCAGGUGGUCCGUCGCGUCGUGCGUGAAAGACCCCGGCUCAACCGGGGGGUGUCGUGCGAUACGGGCGGACUGGAGGCCAGUAGGGGGAUGCGGAAUUCCGGGUGUAGUGGUGGAAUGCGUAGAGAUCCGGAGGAACACCAGCGGCGAAGGCGGCAUCCUGGACUGGUCCUGACACUCAGGAGCGAAAGCGUGGGGAGCGAACCGG
This 253-nucleotide ribosomal RNA is filed under the name uncultured bacterium. RNAcentral describes it as "partial 16S ribosomal RNA". It matches the Rfam family "Bacterial small subunit ribosomal RNA", at positions 524 to 776 of the family's 1533-position model. The record is from RNAcentral.